RNAcentral lists this ribosomal RNA (458 nucleotides) under Bacillaceae bacterium B2-147. RNAcentral's name for it is "bacterial SSU rRNA". It matches the Rfam family "Bacterial small subunit ribosomal RNA", at positions 22 to 468 of the family's 1533-position model. The record is from RNAcentral. Lineage: Bacteria; Bacillati; Bacillota; Bacilli; Caryophanales; Bacillaceae.
GCUCAGGACGAACGCUGGCGGCGUGCCUAAUACAUGCAAGUCGAGCGGACUUGACGGAGCUUGCUCCGUUCAGGUCAGCGGCGGACGGGUGAGUAACACGUGGGCAACCUGCCCAUCAGAUUGGGAUAACUCCGGGAAACCGGGGCUAAUACCGAAUAACAUCGAAAGCCUCAUGGUUUUCUUUUGAAAGGCGGCUUCGGCUGUCACUGCAGGAUGGACCCGCGGCGCAUUAGCUAGUUGGUGGGGUAACGGCCCACCAAGGCCACGAUGCGUAGCCGACCUGAGAGGGUGAUCGGCCACACUGGGACUGAGACACGGCCCAGACUCCUACGGGAGGCAGCAGUAGGGAAUCUUCCGCAAUGGACGAAAGUCUGACGGAGCAACGCCGCGUGAGUGAAGAAGGUUUUCGGAUCGUAAAACUCUGUUGUCAGGGAAGAACAAGUAUGGGAGUAACUGCC